CCUACGGGUGGCAGCAGUGAGGAAUUUUGGUCAAUGGGCGAGAGCCUGAACCAGCCAAGUCGCGUGAAGGAUGACGGCCCUACGGGUUGUAAACUUCUUUUGUCAGGGAGCAAUUGGGUCCACGCGUGGGCUUAGCGAGAGUACCUGAAGAAAAAGCUUCGGCUAACUCCGUGCCUGCAGCCGCGGUAAUACGGAGGAUGCAAUCGUUAUCCGGAUUUAUUGGGGUUAAAGGGUGCGUAGGCGGAAUAACAAGUCAGCGGUAAAAAUUGGGGGCUCAAACCCGUCGUACCGUUGAAACGGAUGUUGUUGAGUGGGCGAGAAGGAUGCGGAAAGCGUGGUG
Molecule: ribosomal RNA, 340 nt
Filed under: uncultured bacterium
Lineage: Bacteria
Description: partial 16S ribosomal RNA
Rfam family: Bacterial small subunit ribosomal RNA
Source: RNAcentral